Molecule: transfer RNA, 72 nt
Filed under: Stegodyphus mimosarum
Lineage: Eukaryota; Metazoa; Arthropoda; Arachnida; Araneae; Eresidae
Rfam family: tRNA
About the family: Transfer RNA (tRNA) molecules are approximately 80 nucleotides in length. Their secondary structure includes four short double-helical elements and three loops (D, anti-codon, and T loops).
Source: Rfam by way of RNAcentral
GUCUUCUUGGCGUAACGGUUAGCACACUCGGCUUGUAUUCGAGAGAUCCAGGUUAGAGUCCCGGCGAGAGCA